GGUGAUACGUAGGUCUAAGCACAUUAACUUUUCGAGGAAGCUAAGUCCGUCCUCCUGUACAUUAAAAAAAGUCAUGAAUGUUAGAGAAAAUGAAACAGCUAGAACCAAAGGCAGGAAGCAUAACAAAAUACAAUUACGGUAUUCAAUUGACGCAACCUCUGCAUAUAAGAUAUCUCAAUGUUAUUAAGACUUUGUUCAACUAUACUUUUGAAACAAACUUUUUAUUUUGCUGUUAAUUUAUUUUUUUAUCCUCCAUUUUUCUUCUCCCAAAACACACGGUAUAUUCCAAUUUCUUCUUCAUUUUCUCUUUCAAAGUUGAUUCUCUGGUUCUCAUUCCCUUUUAUCAAAGUUGAGUCUCUGGUUCUCCUUCCCUUUUAUUUUCUUCAAUUCUUCCAAGGUUUUUGCCCCCCCCCUCUCUCUCUCUCUCUCUCUCUCUACUUCUCUAAUUCCAUCUUCUCAUUUCAACUCCCCAAACUUUUUCAUUUUUUCGCCAUUUCAAGUUAAGCUAUUUUUGGUUCCCCAUUUCCUUUUUAAUUCUUCCAUCGGUGAUGAGUAUGGUUAAUAAUUCCAACGGUGAUGAAAGUGAUGAUGAAAGGGAAAUGAAAGAAAUUUUACAACGCAUGGAAUGUUUUAAUUGAUUAUUUGUUGUUGCAUCUUCUUCUGUACAAUUAUAUUAUAAGAAGGAUAUAUUAAAGUAACCACGCAUGGAUUUAAAACAGUCAACUGAGGCAUGGAUUCGAGAGAUCCUUAAUGGUCAUAGAUCAUGUUGUAUGAUUAAUUUUAGGAUGUCUAAUAUUGCAUUCAUAAGUUUGUUUAGUGUUUUGUAGACGAGAUACAAUUUGCAAAUUUCAAGACAUAUCUUCUUAUGAAA
This is a long non-coding RNA of Gossypium arboreum, 871 nucleotides long. RefSeq lists it as uncharacterized. The record is from RefSeq and is a predicted model, not a curated record. The transcript has 2 exons. NCBI's taxonomy places the organism in Eukaryota, Viridiplantae, Streptophyta, Magnoliopsida, Malvales, Malvaceae.